Non-coding RNA from Firmicutes bacterium CAG:176_59_8, 130 nucleotides. The record is from Rfam. NCBI's taxonomy places the organism in Bacteria, Bacillati, Bacillota.
UAUAAUAUUGGUUGCGUUCCAAAGACAGCAGGUGGCGCGAGCCGUAAAUCCUGCCGAGGAUGGCACAUCGUUAUGAUUGCUUUUACCGUCCUCAUGUCUUUCGGCAUGGGGACGGUUUCCUUUUUGAACG